Phrynosoma platyrhinos (Desert horned lizard) is the source of this 73-nucleotide non-coding RNA. Lineage: Eukaryota; Metazoa; Chordata; Lepidosauria; Squamata; Phrynosomatidae. The record is from the annotation of a GenBank genome assembly.
GAAUGGAUUAGCUCAGUGGCAAAGUACACACUUGGAAUGUAAAAGGUCCCAAGUUCAAUUCCUGCUCCCUUCA